Molecule: ribosomal RNA, 670 nt
Filed under: uncultured bacterium
Lineage: Bacteria
Description: bacterial SSU rRNA
Rfam family: Bacterial small subunit ribosomal RNA
Source: RNAcentral
AGUGGCGCACGGGUGCGUAACGCGUGGGAACCUGCCUUUAGGUUCGGAAUAACAGUUAGAAAUGACUGCUAAUACCGGAUAAUGUCUUCGGACCAAAGAUUUAUCGCCUUUAGAUGGGCCCGCGUUAGAUUAGAUAGUUGGUGGGGUAAUGGCCUACCAAGUCGACGAUCUAUAGCUGGUCUGAGAGGAUGAUCAGCCACACUGGGACUGAGACACGGCCCAGACUCCUACGGGAGGCAGCAGUGGGGAAUAUUGGACAAUGGGCGAAAGCCUGAUCCAGCAAUGCCGCGUGAGUGAUGAAGGCCUUAGGGUUGUAAAGCUCUUUUACCAGGGAUGAUAAUGACAGUACCUGGAGAAUAAGCUCCGGCUAACUCCGUGCCAGCAGCCGCGGUAAUACGGAGGGAGCUAGCGUUGUUCGGAAUUACUGGGCGUAAAGCGCACGUAGGCGGCUUUUCAAGUCAGGGGUGAAAUCCCGGGGCUCAACCCCGGAACUGCCCUUGAAACUGGAUGGCUAGAAUACUGGAGAGGUGAGUGGAAUUCCGAGUGUAGAGGUGAAAUUCGUAGAUAUUCGGAAGAACACCAGUGGCGAAGCGACUCACUGGACAGUUAUUGACGCUGAGUGCGAAGCGUGGGGAGCAACAGGAUUAGAUACCCUGGUAGUCCACGCCGA